AGCGAACGCUGGCGGUAGGCCUAACACAUGCAAGUCGAACGGCAGCACAGUAAGAGCUUGCUCUUACGGGUGGCGAGUGGCGGACGGGUGAGGAAUACAUCGGACUCUACUCUUUCGUGGGGGAUAACGUAGGGAAACUUACGCUAAUACCGCAUACGACCUACGGGUGAAGGCAGGGGAUCUUCGGACCUUGCGCGAUUGAAUGAGCCGAUGUCGGAUUAGCUAGUUGGCGGGGUAAAGGCCCACCAUGGCGACGAUCCGUAGCUGGUCUGAGAGGAUGAUCGCCCACACUGGAACUGAGACACGGUCAAGACUCCUACGGGAGGCAGCAGUGGGGAAUAUUGGGCAGUGGGGGCAAGCCUGGUCCAGCCGUACCGCGUGGGUGAAGAAGACCUUCGGGUUGUAAAGCCCUUUUGUUGGGAAAGAAAAGCAGCAGGUUAAUACCCCGCUGUUCUGACGGUACCCAAAGAAUAAGCACCGGCUAACUUCGUG
RNAcentral lists this ribosomal RNA (492 nucleotides) under uncultured bacterium. Its description in RNAcentral is "partial 16S ribosomal RNA". It matches the Rfam family "Bacterial small subunit ribosomal RNA", at positions 29 to 507 of the family's 1533-position model. The record is from RNAcentral.